GCAAAUGAUCAAACAAUGAUCUUUAUCUCCUGAGUACAGCAUUAAUACAAUGGACUGUAAAGUUCAUUAUUAUUGUAUUGAAGAGCUCUUAAUGGAACUUUGUUUCUCUGCGAUUUUACAUUAAGUCCUUCACAGUAACAGGAGUGAGUAACAGUAACAGUAACAGGAGUGAGUAACAGUAAACAGAGUGAGUAACAGUAACAGUAAUAACAGGAGUGAGUAACAGUAACAGUAACAGAGUGAGUAACAGUAACAGGAGUGAGUAACAGUAACAGGAGUGAGUAACAGUAACAGUAACAGGAGUGAGUAACAGUAACAGUAACAGGAGUCAGUAACAGUAACAGGAGUGAGUAACAGUAACAAAAGUGAGUAACAGUAACAGGAGUCAGUAACAGCAUCAGUAACAGGAGUGAGUAACAGUAACAGUAACAGGAGUGAGUAACAGUAACAGUAACAGGAGUGAGUAACAGUAACAGGAGUCAGUAACAGCAUCAGUAACAGGAGUGAGAGUGAGUAACAGUAACAGGAGUCAGUAACAGCAUCAGUAACAGGAGUGAGUAACAGUAACAGUAACAGGAGUGAAAAGGAGUAACAGUAACAGUAACAGUAACAGGAGUGAGUAACAGUAACAGUAAACAGAGUGAGUAACAGUAACAGGAGUGAGUAACAGUAACAGGAGUCAGUAACA
Ictalurus punctatus (channel catfish) is the source of this 688-nucleotide long non-coding RNA. The record is from Ensembl. Lineage: Eukaryota; Metazoa; Chordata; Actinopteri; Siluriformes; Ictaluridae.